GCUACGGGUGGCAGCAGUGGGGAAUAUUGGACAAUGGGGGGAACCCUGAUCCAGCGACGCCGCGUGAGUGAAGAAGUAUUUCGGUAUGUAAAGCUCUAUCAGCAGGGAAGAAAGAAAUGACGGUACCUGACUAAGAAGCACCGGCUAACUACGUGCCAGCAGCCGCGGGAAUACGUAGGGGGCAAGCGUUAUCCGGAUUUACUGGGUGUAAAGGGAGCGUAGACGGCGAUGCAAGUCUGAAGUGAAAGGCGGGGGCCCAACCCCCGGACUGCUUUGGAAACUGUAUGGCUGGAGGGCAGGAGAGGUAAGUGGAAUUCCUAGUGUAGCGGUGAAAUGCGUAGAUAUUAGGAGGAACACCAGUGGCGAAGGCAGCUUACUAAACUGUGACUGACAUUGAUGCUCGAAAGUGUGGGUAUCAAACAGGAUUAGAUACCCCAGUAGUC
RNAcentral lists this ribosomal RNA (443 nucleotides) under uncultured bacterium. RNAcentral's name for it is "partial 16S ribosomal RNA". It matches the Rfam family "Bacterial small subunit ribosomal RNA", at positions 338 to 795 of the family's 1533-position model. The record is from RNAcentral.